This 301-nucleotide ribosomal RNA is filed under the name uncultured bacterium. RNAcentral describes it as "partial 16S ribosomal RNA". It matches the Rfam family "Bacterial small subunit ribosomal RNA", at positions 509 to 809 of the family's 1533-position model. The record is from RNAcentral.
CAGUAGCCGCGGGAACACGAAGGGGGCUAGCGUUGUUCGGAUUUACUGGGCGUAAAGGGCGCGUAGGCGGACUGAUAAGUCAGGGGUGAAAUCCCAAGGCUCAACCUUGGAACUGCCUUUGAUACUGUUUGUCUUGAGUUCGAGAGAGGUAAGUGGAACUGCGAGUGUAGAGGUGAAAUUCGUAGAUAUUCGCAAGAACACCAGUGGCGAAGGCGGCUUACUGGCUCGAAACUGACGCUGAGGCGCGAAAGCGUGGGGAGCAAACAGGAUUAGAUACCCGAGUAGUCCCUGUCUCUUAUAA